Molecule: ribosomal RNA, 451 nt
Filed under: uncultured bacterium
Lineage: Bacteria
Description: partial 16S ribosomal RNA
Rfam family: Bacterial small subunit ribosomal RNA
Source: RNAcentral
GUGGGGAAUAUUGGACAAUGGGGGGAACCCUGAUCCAGCCAUGCCGCGUGUGUGAAGAAGGCCUUUUGGUUGUAAAGCACUUUAAGCGAGGAGGAGGCUACCGAGAUUAAUACUCUUGGAUAGUGGACGUUACUCGCAGAAUAAGCACCGGCUAACUCUGUGCCAGCAGCCGCGGUAAUACAGAGGGUGCAAGCGUUAAUCGGAUUUACUGGGCGUAAAGCGCGCGUAGGUGGCCAAUUAAGUCAAAUGUGAAAUCCCCGAGCUUAACUUGGGAAUUGCAUUCGAUACUGGUUGGCUAGAGUAUGGGAGAGGAUGGUAGAAUUCCAGGUGUAGUGGUGAAAUGCGUAGAGAUCUGGAGGAAUACCGAUGGCGAAGGCAGCCAUCUGGCCUAAUACUGACACUGAGGUGCGAAAGCAUGGGGAGCAAACAGGAUUAGAAACCCUGGUAGUCC